Paramisgurnus dabryanus is the source of this 448-nucleotide non-coding RNA. The record is from RefSeq and is a predicted model, not a curated record. Lineage: Eukaryota; Metazoa; Chordata; Actinopteri; Cypriniformes; Cobitidae.
GUUUCUUUAAAUACAGGAAACCCUGAACACGCUGAAGUUAGAAACAAGAAUUUUUGACCAUGAAUACAUUACUUUGGAUAUUAUUAUCGCAUUGUUUCAUACUUAUUAAUGCAGAUUGCAACAAUCAUUUCAUUGGUGCUGGUGAAGCAAGUAAGAAUGCUGUUGUUGGAGAGAAUGUGAUACUGCCAUGCUAUAAUGUGAUCAAACAAACAAACUGCACAUACACUUCAUGGCUAUCUGUAGAAAAUGGAGUUGGUGAGCUGGUGCACCUUGGCAAGAUAGAACAGAACUCAGAAAGGGGAAAGCGAGUGAGUUUGACAUCUAACUGCUCUCUACACAUCAGUAAUGUCAGAGCUGAGGACUGCGGAUGCUACAUCUGUCAACAGUGGAACAAUACUGAUGUAGAGGUAGCAAAGAAUGCCAGAUUGUGCUUGUCUGUCACUAAAGG